Long non-coding RNA from Cicer arietinum (chickpea), 509 nucleotides. RefSeq lists it as uncharacterized. NCBI's taxonomy places the organism in Eukaryota, Viridiplantae, Streptophyta, Magnoliopsida, Fabales, Fabaceae. The record is from RefSeq and is a predicted model, not a curated record.
CUGUAUUAUUAUUGUCAAUAUUUAUAGCCUGUAAUUAUCAUGCAAAAUUAACUAAUGCAAAAUGAAACUAAGCUCAUAACCAACAAACUAUUGUAGUUGAUUUUUUUUCCAAUCAAAUAAUGACUUAUGUUAAGCUCUCUCCUAUGGUUGUGUUCUUUCUUGCCACAUUUGUAAUGUUGUUAAUGAGGAAAGGAAAGGCACAAUUUUGUACUGGUAGUGAUUGUAUAAUAGGUGGUUCACCAUGUGGUGGUGGUUGUUAUUGUGCUUCUUUAUCUUUUCCAGUUGGUGUUUGUAUCCCCGUAUUAAUGUAAGAUGUUAUCAUGAAUAUGAUCAUAUGAUAUGUCAAUCUCAUGAUGAAUCUAUACUUUAAAUAAACCUUUAAUUAAAUAGUUUGUUUCCAACUAAUGAGUUGGAUUUUAUUAAAUGAUGCAUGUAAAUGGGAGUGCAACUUAAAUAUAUGUUGCUACUUAGCAAAUAAUGUUAAUGAAUCAUUAUUAAUUGUUACAUAA